CAAGUGUCAAGUCGGCACUGCGAAGGGUGCAUGCAUGCAUGCAUGGACGGGUCGGGCAGAGGCCUGGCCACCACCACCACCACUGGCAUGCAUACGAUACGACGCGUACCUUUCCGUGCCUCUCUGUGAAGCGACUCUGACGGCGAGAAGCGAUCGAACAAGCAAGCAGGCAAGCAGCAGGUCCAUGGCUACAUCCGCCUGCGUUCUUUCUGUUGGAACAAGGGGCGAUGUAGGAGAUCUGCCCUUCCCAUGCUUUUUCCUCCAGGAACGUCCGUAUCUUUUCUUCCACACGCAGCGAAGGACCGGCGCCGCCGUCGAACCGAAGAAACGCCGCCGUCCUCGAUUAGCCGCCGUCCUCGAGCAGCCUCACCGUUGCCAUGGACGGCGAUGCCUUCGACCUCAACUCGCAGGCGCCGGAGACUGAUGGUUUCCCGGGGCUUCAGCUGUACGGCAACAUCCUGUCCGACUCUGAUGGUCUGUUCGAUGGUCGUGCCAGCGGCUCUGUGCUUCCUCCGUAUCGCCCACCGUGUGCCGGAGGCGGUGACGCGCGGGCAGCUACAGCGGCACCCUACGCUCGGCAGCUACUCUUCGACGGCUCCACCUCGCGCGGCAGGCAACACAGUUCGUCAGCGGGCGAACUCGGCCGCAGCAGCACCCGUCCGUCGUCAACAGCUCAACAACACAGCGCGUCGUCGCACCAACAGCCAAGGCGCACCGCGUCCGCCACCACCGAGGGCACAGAGGGC
RNAcentral lists this unclassified non-coding RNA (746 nucleotides) under Zea mays. Its description in RNAcentral is "misc RNA Zm00001eb120070". The record is from RNAcentral. Lineage: Eukaryota; Viridiplantae; Streptophyta; Magnoliopsida; Poales; Poaceae.